GGUGGCUCAGUGGUAGAGUGCUUGCCUUGCUCGCAUGAGGCCCUGGGUUCAAUUCCUCAGCACCA
This 65-nucleotide transfer RNA is filed under the name Dipodomys ordii (Ord's kangaroo rat). It matches the Rfam family "tRNA". From Rfam's summary of the family: Transfer RNA (tRNA) molecules are approximately 80 nucleotides in length. The record is from Rfam by way of RNAcentral. Lineage: Eukaryota; Metazoa; Chordata; Mammalia; Rodentia; Heteromyidae.